CCAUGCCGCGUGUGUGAAGAAGGCCUUCGGGUUGUAAAGCACUUUCAGUCGUGAGGAAGGUGGUAUUGUUAAUAGCACUAUCAUUUGACGUUAGCGACAGAAGAAGCACCGGCUAACUCCGUGCCAGCAGCCGCGGUAAUACGGAGGGUGCGAGCGUUAAUCGGAAUUACUGGGCGUAAAGCGCAUGCAGGUGGUUUGUUAAGUCAGAUGUGAAAGCCCGGGGCUCAACCUCGGAAUAGCAUUUGAAACUGGCAGACUAGAGUACUGUAGAGGGGGGUAGAAUUUCAGGUGUAGCGGUGAAAUGCGUAGAGAUCUGAAGGAAUACCGGUGGCGAAGGCGGCCCCCUGGACAGAUACUGACACUCAGAUGCGAAAGCGUGGGGAGCAAACAGGAUUAGAUACCCCU
Molecule: ribosomal RNA, 405 nt
Filed under: Vibrio alginolyticus
Lineage: Bacteria; Pseudomonadati; Pseudomonadota; Gammaproteobacteria; Vibrionales; Vibrionaceae
Description: bacterial SSU rRNA
Rfam family: Bacterial small subunit ribosomal RNA
Source: RNAcentral